This 864-nucleotide long non-coding RNA is filed under the name Homo sapiens (human). Its description in RNAcentral is "HSALNT0403970". Lineage: Eukaryota; Metazoa; Chordata; Mammalia; Primates; Hominidae. The record is from RNAcentral.
CAGUUUAUGUAUUGAAGAACCUGGGCCGUUUGACCCACGGAGUGGUUCUCAAUCUGGAUUUGGCUGAUUGGGCACUCAUGUUGCAGGUUAACAUGCUCCUCGGUUUUCUGACCUCCUAGAAGUUGGCAGCUGGAUCCAGAAGCUUCAACAGCCUCAGGUUCAGCCUCCUGGGCUGGCGGAUUGUAGGCCAAAGCUUGAUUUGGGUAUCAGCAAGUUAAAACUCAGGCACAUCCAUCUUUCCUGAUCCAAGUAAAUUCUAGUGGGCAAGAGGAAGAGAAGAGAAACUACAACAUCAUUAUCUUACUGCUGGAGGCAGCAGAUUACGGACCCCUGACUGUGAUGUGUCAAAUGCACUGUGUGACAACCAAGACCCUACACAUCUGGGGGGCACUUCAGGAUUCCUCCAGGCGGCAGUUGCUGGCCUAGACUCACUUCUUCAGGAGGGAGGUUCGCCCUGGAAAAGCUGAUUUGCAUUUCUGCUGGGAUCGAUGCCGUGGAGACUGAAUACAUUGAGGUCUCCAGGUGAAAGAAGAAAGCUUAACCUGGCUUCUGAAUUCCAAGAGCACACGGCAAAGUGGGUCUAAAUCAACGUCUGGUUAUGAAGGGCCUAGAGCCAGAUAGGAGCUUCUUACAGCUUUUGGCAGUUUCUGGUGGAGGCCAGCUCUCCUUGUCAUCUACCUUGGCCUGAGAAGCCUGUUCCCCUCUGCAGAGGAUGAGCUCAGGGCUACACCUUUCCUUCCAGGCUCUCAUGGUGUGGUCCAGGCUCCAUUUCUUUCUCUUUGAACCUCACUUCAACAUGAUUAGAGUGACUGAAGGUAAAGAAAUAGGAACUGUUUUACCGUAAAUAAAUUAGUCCCUGCUACA